RNAcentral lists this transfer RNA (72 nucleotides) under Rosellinia necatrix. Its description in RNAcentral is "tRNA-Gln". It matches the Rfam family "tRNA". From Rfam's summary of the family: Transfer RNA (tRNA) molecules are approximately 80 nucleotides in length. The record is from RNAcentral. Lineage: Eukaryota; Fungi; Ascomycota; Sordariomycetes; Xylariales; Xylariaceae.
GGUCGCGUGGUGUAGUGGUUAGCACUUAAGAUUUUGAUUCUUAAGACCUGAGUUCGAAUCUCGGCGUGACCU